CUCAGCACCAUGGUCCAGCCCAGCCUCUGCUAUUGGAAGAGUCUGCACGCAGUCCAUCCUCGGCUUUCCCACAGCAGAACUGCACCAUGGCUGUUGGGGACUGUCCUGCUUAAGUAGGGUUGUCAAGGUAUACCUGGCUGGGAAGGUGACACUUCAGGAAAUUCUCAAGAGAGAUUCCGGGGACUGAACUCAGGUCAGCAGACUUGGGAGGCAAGCACCCUUACCCGCUGAGCCAGCUCACUGGCCUCUGAAUUACAUUUUAACUAGAUCACUCUGUCUUCAGGGCCCAGCAUCGUCUGAAAGGGACAGGGACAGGAAGACUAACGGCAGAGGUGGGCUCUGUUUGCAAGAUUACAGAAGGAACCACAACAGCUUAGACCAGAGUCAGAUGAGGUUAGAGAAUUUCAGAUGGACAUUUUCUGAUGAAGAAGACUCUCCACUCUAGCACGAUCCACUAAUGAAGAAAGACAGAGAACCAGCAUUCACCCUAGAGACGGCAAGAAAUCGUGUCCGUGAAGGCAGUUGUUGGAUGCUGGCUGCAAGUCAAGAUCACCAGGGAUACUGCUAGUGUCCUGAUGCCCAAUGCCACCUCAGAGAUUCUAGUUCCUCUACUGCCAGGCUGUUAUUAGUGACUUUAGACCCCUCCCAUCAAUGCUUCUAAUAUUUAACCAGAAUUAAUAAUUAAUUGUCUAAUUACAACCCUUAACAUAGUUUGCCUGUUAAGCCUCCCAAACUCAGUGGUUUUACGUUGAGGUUUGAAGCAAAGGAAUCACAUGAAUUGGUCAGUGGAAAAGUUAGGUGGAAACAUCCCAAGCAAGGGCAAUAGCGGCUUGAAAGAGAUGUUAAUAUGAGAAGUUCUGGCAUUAGAAAACCAACAGCAGCCCCAGUAGCCACUUACAACUUGUGGAUGGGGGUAGGGAUGAUGCCAAAGAGUUAUAUACCAUGCUAAUUAAUAAUGCACCCCCAAAUUAUUGAAAUCCCGACAUGUAACAUGAGGGCCAGCUUGUUGGGGUUUCUAUCCUGCCUGGUACCCCACAGCCGGCAAGU
Myodes glareolus (Bank vole) is the source of this 1047-nucleotide non-coding RNA. The record is from RefSeq and is a predicted model, not a curated record. Lineage: Eukaryota; Metazoa; Chordata; Mammalia; Rodentia; Cricetidae.